Otolemur garnettii (small-eared galago) is the source of this 5175-nucleotide RNA transcript. It is a transcript of the gene named unc-13 homolog D, with no coding region annotated. The record is from RefSeq and is a predicted model, not a curated record. The transcript is spliced from 32 exons. NCBI's taxonomy places the organism in Eukaryota, Metazoa, Chordata, Mammalia, Primates, Galagidae.
GGGAGACUGUUCCUCCGAUGAAAAGCCCCUUGUUCUAAUGGACUAUUUGGUCCUCAUGAUACCUCUGCCUGUAGGGUCUCCAUCUUCUGUGCUCCACCCUGAGAAUCCUCUGGGACCUAGGCGGGAGGGUGUUCAGGCUUCCUGGCCUGUCCCCUGCUGGCUGCAGGGGGGAUUGCAUUUCUGGCCCAGGCGUCUGAGGGAGGAGGCCCUAGGCCUCUGGAGCAUGUUGAGACAGACACACUCUGGAAGACUGGCUUCCUGCCACCCUCCUGUGAUCCUGGUGGGAAGGGAAGUGGAGAGAACCAAAGGCACAAAUGCCCCUGUGCCUCUCAGCUGAGGCCCAGGGCACAGGCUCAGUAAGUCACAGAGGUCUGAGAAAGCCCAGUGUUGGCCCUUGUGAAUCAAGUCCACCCUCAUGGGAGAGACUAGGCAGCAAGUCCUCUCUGGCCUCUGGCUUUGGCCCGCCCUACCUGGGAGCUUUGGGGUUUGGCUAAACCUACAAGGGCAUUUGAAGGGAGCAUUCACCUGACCGUCACAGUGGAGGCAAGGGCCAUACCUGCCCAGCACAAUUUGGCUAUGUCACCACUGGGGAAUGUCACCUAUGAGGUGGGGCAGACAGAGUUGGCGGCCAGCCUCUCAGGAGCCCCCGCCCUGAGUCCUGCCCCAAGUGGGGCCUAUGGGGAAGUCCAGUGAGAAUACCCCAGGGGCCCAGGUCAGCUUCCCUCCUGACUCGUCUGGGCACAGUACACAGAUGGAGCAGAAUUGCCCACCUGGCACUGCCACUGCAGGAGUGCUGGACCCUCCCAGGGCCCUUGCAGGAGGGUGGAGUUGGGCAGGGCCCGCCCACUGGGUCCACCUUGUGCUCCAGCCUGGAGCGGGUACAGCCGGGAUUCUGGCUGGAGGAAGGUUCAGAGGGCCUGGGAGACAAUCCCCCCCAGUGGCAGUGAAAUUCUAACUCUCUAACCCUCCCCACUGCCCUCCCUCUCCCCUCCCCUGGCAGAGGGUGGCAGCCCCGUGCUCUUUGCAUAAUCCUGCGGCUUUGCUGUCUUGACUUCGCUGUCUUCACUUACCACACCACAGCAGGGGACAGCCGACGGGAAGGGCAGAGCAGGCCACCAUGGCAACACUCCUCUCCAACCCCCAGAGACGCCCUCCCCUCUUACGCCAGGCCAUCAAGAUAAGGCGCCGCAGGGUCAGAGACCUGCAGGAUCCUCUGCCCCAGAUGGAGACCAAGCCUCCAUCUCAUCAUCUGUCCCCAGAGGAGCGGGCCCUGCUCUACGAGGAAGCUCUGUACACUGUCCUACACCGCCUGGGUCAGCCGGAGCCCACCCACGUGACAGAGGCCUCUGAGCUGCUACAAUACCUUCAGGAGGCCUUCCACAUGGAACCUGAGGAGCACCAGAAGACACUGCAGCGGGUCAGGGAGCUCCAGAAGCCAAUAUUUUGUCUGAAGGCAACAGUGAAACAAGCCAAGGGCAUCCUGGGCAAGGAUGUCAGUGGGUUCAGUGACCCCUACUGCCUGCUGGGUAUUGAGCAGGGAGUUGGUGUGCCAGGGGGAAGCCCGGGGGCCCGGCGGCGGCAGAAGGCCGUGGUGAGGCACACUAUCCCCGAGGACCAGACCCACCGCACCCAGGUCAUCAGUCAGACACUCAACCCCGUCUGGGAUGAGACUUUUAUCCUGGAGUUUGAGGACAUCACCAAUGCAAACUUUCAUCUGGACAUGUGGGACCUGGACACUGUAGAGUCUGUCCGACAGAAGCUAGGGGAGCUCACAGAUUUACACGGGCUUCGCAGGAUCUUUAAGGAGGCCCGGAAGGACAAAGGCCAGGAUGACUUUCUGGGGAAUGUGGUUCUGAGACUGCAGGACCUGCGCUGCCGGGAAGACCAGUGGUACCCCCUGGAGCCCUGCACCGAGACCUACCCAGACCGUGGCCAGUGUCACCUCCAGUUCCAGCUCAUUCAUAAGCGAAGAGCCACUGCAGCCAGCCGCUCCCAGCCCAGCUACACCGUGCACCUCCAUCUUCUGCAGCAGCUUGUUUCCCAUGAGGUCACACAGCACCAGACAGGCAGCACCUCCUGGGAUGGAUCGCUGAGUCCCCAGGCGACCACCAUUCUCUUUCUCCAUGCCAUGCAGAAGGACCUAUCUGACUUCCACCAGUCCAUGGCGCAGUGGCUGGCCUAUAGCUGCCUCUACCAGAGCCUGGAGUUCCCUAGUGGCUGUCUUCUGCAUCCCAUCACCAGCAUUGAGUACCAGUGGAUCCAGGGCCGGCUCAAGGCAGAGCAGCGGGAGGAGCUAGCCACAUCCUUCCAGUCCCUGCUGGCCUAUGGCCUCUCCCUCAUCCGGAGAUUCCGCUCUGUCUUCCCCCUCUCAGUCUCCGACUCCCCAGCCCGGCUGCAGUCUCUUCUCAGGGUCCUGGUACAGAUGUGCAAGAUGAAGGCAUUCAGAGAACUGUGUCCAGACAGCGCCCCACUGUCCCAGCUGGUGACCGAGGCCCUGCGGACUGGCACUGUUGAAUGGUUCCACCUGAAGCAGCAGCACCAUCAGCCCAUGGUGCAGGGCAUGCUGGAGGCAGGCAAGGCCUUGCUGAGCCUAGUACAGGACAUUGUUGGCGACCUGCAGCAGUGCCAACGCACAUGGAACAAGAUCUUCCUCAAUGCCCUGAAGAUCGACCUCUUCUCUGCUGCUUUCCUAGAGCUGCAGUGGCUGGUGGCCAAGCGGGCCAAAGACCACACAGCAGCAGUCGGUAGCCCCGUGUCCCCAGAGAUGGGUGAAAGUCUGUUCCAGCUCUACAUCAGCCUCAAGGAGCUCUGCCAGCUGCACCCGGCGCCCUUGGAGAGGGAUGGAGUCCUGGCCCUGGAUGGUUUCCACUGCUGGUUCCAGCCGGCCAUCCCCUCCUGGCUGCAGAAGACGUACAGCGUGGCCCUGGCACGGGUGCAGCGUGCAGUACAGAUGGACCAGCUGGUGCCCCUGGGUGAGUUGACCAAGCAUAGCACAUCAGCUGUGGAUCUGUCCACCUGCUUUGCCCAGAUCAGCCACACUGCCCGGCAGCUGGACUGGCCAGAUCCAGAGGAGGCUUUCAUGAUCACUGUCAAAUUUGUGGAGGACACCUGUCGGCUGGCCCUGGUGUAUUGCAGCCUUAUAAAGACCCGGGCCCGUGAGCUCUCUGCAGGCCAGAAGGACCAGGCCCAGGCAGCCAACAUGCUGUGCGUGGUGGUGAAUGACAUGGAGCAGCUACGGCUAGUGAUCGGCAAACUGCCCACACAGCUGUCCUGGGAGACCCUGGAGCAACGGGUGGGGGCUGUGCUGGAGCAGGGGCAGCUACAGAAUACACUGCAUGCCCAGCUGCAGGGUGCACUUGCUGGGCUGAGCCACGAGAUCCGCACUGGUGUCCGUACCCUGGCUGAGCAGCUGGAGGUGGGCAUUGCCAAGCACAUCCAGAAACUCGUGGGCGUCAGGGAGUCUGUCCCACCUGAGGAUGCCAUUCUGCCCCUGAUGAAGUUCCUGGAGGUGGAGCUUUGCUACAUGAAUACCAACUUGGUGCAGGAGAACUUCAGCAGUCUUCUGACCCUGCUCUGGACCCACACGCUCACGGUGCUGGUGGAGGUGGCUGCCUCCCAGCGCAGCUCAUGUCUGGCUUCAAGCAGGCUGAAGAUUGCCCUGCAGAACCUGGAGAUUUGCUUCCAUGCAGAAGGCUGUGGCCUGCCGCUCAAGGCCCUGUACACAACCACUUUCCAGGCAGAUUCUUUGGAGGUACCUGUCCCCAGGCUCUGCAGAGGGACCUGGAGCUGCAGGCAGCCUCCAGCCGGGAGCUCAUCCAGAGGUAUUUCUGCAGCCGCAUUCAGCAACAGGAAGAAACCACCUCUGAGGAGCUGGGGGCUGUCACAGUCAAAGCCUCUUACCGUGCCUCUGAGCAGAAGCUGCGUGUGGAACUGCUCAGCGCCUCCAGCCUGCUGCCCCUGGAUUCCAAUGGCUCUAGCGACCCCUUUGUCCAGCUGACCUUGGAGCCCAGACAUGAGUUCCCUGAGUUGGCCGCCCGGGAGACCCAGAAACACAAAAAAGACCUUCACCCACUGUUUGAUGAGACCUUUGAAUUCCUUGUAUCUGCUGAGCCGUGCCGGAAGGCUGGGGCAUGCCUCUUGCUCACCGUGUUGGACCAUGACACACUGGGGGCUGAUGAUCUGGAAGGGGAGGCCUUCUUGCCACUGUGUGAGGUGCCUGGGGUGACUGGCUCUGAGGAGCCUGGCGAGGUCCCUCAGACCCGCCUACCCCUCACAUAUCCCACACCCAACGGGGACCCAAUUCUGCAGCUGCUGGAGAGCCGGAAGGGUGACCGAGAGGCCCAGGCCUUUGUGAGGCUGAGGCGACAGAGAGCCAAGCAGGCCUCCCAGCAUGCCCCAAGGGCAGGGCAGUAGCAGGGCAGGUUAAGGGUGAGGGUGGGGCUGGGUCCCCAAUAGGGAGCAGUCAGGGCUUUCUUGUAAGGUCUGGGGCUACCCCUCCCCCCAGCAUGUUAGUAUUAACACAGGCCCCCUGGGUCUCCCCACCAGAGCAGGGCCCAGUGAGAGGGGCACAUUGGCAUUGUCUCUGCUCUCCACCAUACCUAUCCAGGCCGUAACAUUUUCUGCCAUAUCCCAGCAGCAGAGGGAGCAUCUCGGGACCCUGAUCCCCUCUUGGAAAAACUGCUCUGGUGGUCAGGGUCUUAGGCCAUCUGUUUCCCAGCCUGCCUGUUCCAACCACUGGCAGCAAGAGGAGGGGAGGCUCACUGGGUCCAGGGCUAUAGACACAAAACCUUCUGGGAAAGGGAGAGGAGACCCUGCCAAGUAUAAGGCUCCACCUGCCCUGUGGGAGGAGGAGUGGUGUCCAUUACUAGAGGGAGCCUUGGUUCUUUCCCCAGGGGCUCUCUGAGAGAGAGAGCUGGCAGGCAACAGGGCUGGCAUGGAGGGAUGGAAGCAGCAAGGCCAGUUUGGCUAGCUUUGUGUAUGAGAAUACCUCCUCCCUAGGACAGCAUCUGCCACCUAGAAACUUUCUUAGCAAAAUAAACAAAUAAAACCAAUCCAUUGCCCAAAUUUUACUUUUGGCCUGCAGUGGGGCCCAGAAAGCUAGUCAGGCAGCAUUUCCUCCUUCCUUCCCUGAGGCCUGGCCUAUUCUUACUCCCCCAUGCUCCAAAGCCACAGACG